GAUGAACGCUGGCGGCGUGCCUAAUACAUGCAAGUCAAGCGAACAGACGAGGAGCUUGCUCCUUCGACGUUAGCGGCGGACGGGUGAGUAACACGUAGGUAACCUACCUAUAAGACUGGGAUAACUUCGGGAAACCGGAGCUAAUACCGGAUAAUAUUUCGAACCGCAUGGUUCGAUAGUGAAAGAUGGCUUUGCUAUCACUUAUAGAUGGACCUGCGCCGUAUUAGCUAGUUGGUAAGGUAACGGCUUACCAAGGCAACGAUACGUAGCCGACCUGAGAGGGUGAUCGGCCACACUGGAACUGAGACACGGUCCAGACUCCUACGGGAGGCAGCAGUAGGGAAUCUUCCGCAAUGGGCGAAAGCCUGACGGAGCAACGCCGCGUGAGUGAUGAAGGUCUUCGGAUCGUAAAACUCUGUUAUUAGGGAAGAACAAACGUGUAAGUAACUGUGCACGUCUUGACGGUACCUAAUCAGAAAGCCACGGCUAACUACGUG
This 497-nucleotide ribosomal RNA is filed under the name uncultured bacterium. Its description in RNAcentral is "partial 16S ribosomal RNA". It matches the Rfam family "Bacterial small subunit ribosomal RNA", at positions 28 to 507 of the family's 1533-position model. The record is from RNAcentral.